This 125-nucleotide small RNA is filed under the name Marmota monax (woodchuck). Lineage: Eukaryota; Metazoa; Chordata; Mammalia; Rodentia; Sciuridae. The record is from RNAcentral.
GCUGGGCGCUGUGGCACACGCCUGUAAUCCCAACAGCUCGGGAGGCUGAGGCAGGAGGAUCAGGAGUUCAAAGCCAGCCUCAGCAAAGGUGAGGCCCUAAGCAACUCAGUGAGACCCUGUCUCUA